GACGAACGCUGGCGGCGUGCUUAACACAUGCAAGUCGAACGGAAAGGCCCUGCUUUUGUGGGGUGCUCGAGUGGCGAACGGGUGAGUAACACGUGAGUAACCUGCCCUUGACUUUGGGAUAACUUCAGGAAACUGGGGCUAAUACCGGAUAGGAGCUCCUGCUGCAUGGUGGGGGUUGGAGAGUUUCGGCGGUUGGGGAUGGACUCGCGGCUUAUCAGCUUGUUGGUGGGGUAGUGGCUUACCAAGGCUUUGACGGGUAGCCGGCCUGAGAGGGUGACCGGCCACAUUGGGACUGAGAUACGGCCCAGACUCCUACGGGGGGCAACAGUGGGGAAUAUUGCACAAUGGGCGGAAGCCUGAUGCAGCAACGCCGCGUGCGGGAUGACGGCCUUCGGGUUGUAAACCGCUUUCGCCUGUGACGAAGCGUGAGUGACGGUAAUGGGUAAAGAAGCACCGGCUAACUACGUGCCAGCAGCCGCGGUGAUACGUAGGGUGCGAGCGUUGUCCGGAUUUAUUGGGCGUAAAGGGCUCGUAGGUGGUUGAUCGCGUCGGAAGUGUAAUCUUGGGGCUUAACCCUGAGCGUGCUUUCGAUACGGGUUGACUUGAGGAAGGUAGGGGAGAAUGGAAUUCCUGGUGGAGCGGUGGAAUGCGCAGAUAUCAGGAGGAACACCAGUGGCGAAGGCGGUUCUCUGGGCCUUUCCUGACGCUGAGGAGCGAAAGCGUGGGGAGCGAACAGGCUUAGAUACCCUGGUAGUCCGCGCUGUAAACGGUGGGUACUAGGUGUGGGGUCCAUUCCACGGGUUCCGUGCCGUAGCUAACGCUUUAAGUAUCCCGCCUGGGGAGUACGGCCGCAAGGCUAAAACUCAAAGGAAUUGACGGGGCCCCGCACAAGCGGCGGAGCAUGCGGAUUAAUUCGAUGCAACGCGUAGAACCUUACCUGGGUUUGACAUGGAUCGGGAGUGCUCAGAGAUGGGUGUGCCUCUUUUGGGGUCGGUUCACAGGUGGUGCAUGGCUGUCGUCAGCUCGUGUCGUGAGAUGUUGGGUUAAGUCCCGCAACGAGCGCAACCCUUGUUCACUGUUGCCAGCACGUUAUGGUGGGGACUCAGUGGAGACCGCCGGGGUCAACUCGGAGGAAGGUGGGGAUGACGUCAAGUCAUCAUGCCCCUUAUGUCCAGGGCUUCACGCAUGCUACAAUGGCUGGUACAGAGAGUGGCGAGCCUGUGAGGGUGAGCGAAUCUCGGAAAGCCGGUCUCAGUUCGGAUUGGGGUCUGCAACUCGACCUCAUGAAGUCGGAGUCGCUAGUAAUCGCAGAUCAGCAACGCUGCGGUGAAUACGUUCCCGGGGCU
RNAcentral lists this ribosomal RNA (1346 nucleotides) under uncultured bacterium. RNAcentral's name for it is "partial 16S ribosomal RNA". It matches the Rfam family "Bacterial small subunit ribosomal RNA", at positions 28 to 1381 of the family's 1533-position model. The record is from RNAcentral.